GGCUCCGUGGCUUAAUGGUUACGGCUUCUGCCUCGAAAGCAGGAGGUUCAGGGAUCAUAUCCUGGUCGGUUCCC
Culex pipiens (northern house mosquito) is the source of this 74-nucleotide non-coding RNA. NCBI's taxonomy places the organism in Eukaryota, Metazoa, Arthropoda, Insecta, Diptera, Culicidae. The record is from Rfam.